Molecule: unclassified non-coding RNA, 335 nt
Filed under: soil metagenome
Description: partial contains 5.8S ribosomal RNA, internal transcribed spacer 2, and large subunit ribosomal RNA
Rfam family: 5.8S ribosomal RNA (bases 1-120)
Source: RNAcentral
GAUGAAGAACGUAGCGAAAUGCGAUAAGUAAUGUGAAUUGCAGAAUUCAGUGAAUCAUCGAAUCUUUGAACGCACAUUGCGCCCAUUAGCAUUCUAGUGGGCAUGCCUGUUCGAGCGUCAUUUCAACCCUUAAGCCCUGUUGCUUAGCGUUGGGAGCCUACAGUACUGUAGCUCCCCAAAGUUAGUGGCGGAGUCGGUUUCACAAUCUAGACGUAGUAAUUUUUUCUCGUCUGUAGUUGAGCCGGUCCCCUGCCGUAAAACACCCAAUUUAUCAAGGUUGACCUCGGAUCAGGUAGGAAUACCCGCUGAACUUAAGCAUAUCAAUAAGCGGAGGA